UCUAGAGGAAGGAGAAGUCGUAACAAGGUUUCCGUAGGUGAACCUGCGGAAGGAUCAUUGAAUCGAUCGAACACACAAUGGUGACCUCUGUCUCCCGCCCGAUCGGGGUCGGGUGGGCGCCUGCCCGCCCGACCUCGUGGCCGACCCGGAAGGGGUCGGGCCGCGGCCGCUCAACCUGGUGGGGGCCGCGGUGGCCAAGCCGAACCUGGAAACUGAACCUGAAGCUGUUGUAGGUCGGCGCGAAAGCCCGGCCGAUUCAAACGAAGACAACUCUCAACAACGGAUAUCUUGGCUCCCGUAACGAUGAAGAACGCAGCGAAAUGCGAUACGUAGUGUGAAUUGCAGAAUUCCGUGAAUCAUCGAGUCUUUGAACGCAUAUUGCGCCCCAGGUCUCGGCCAAGGGCACGCCUGCCUCAGCGUCUUCUCAACCCCUCCCCGUUCUCCCGUCGAGGGAGAAAGGGGGAUCUGGUCGUUCCGAUCUCCACGAUCGGAUCGGCCGAAAUACAGCAGGGUUCCCCGCUCCGUAAGGGUGUUCGAAAGGUAGUCGAAGCCGUCGGCGCCCGGGCGUGCGGAUCCUCGAAAGGUCGGAGAACAUCAAGCAUCGACCUGAGUUCAGGCGAGGGCACCCGCUGAACUUAAGCAUAUCAAUAAGCGGAGGAAAAGAAACUAACCAGGAUUCCCCUAGUAGCG
RNAcentral lists this ribosomal RNA (690 nucleotides) under Symbiochloris tropica. Its description in RNAcentral is "eukaryotic LSU rRNA". The stretch from base 269 to 422 matches the Rfam family "5.8S ribosomal RNA". The record is from RNAcentral. Lineage: Eukaryota; Viridiplantae; Chlorophyta; Trebouxiophyceae; Trebouxiales; Trebouxiaceae.